RNAcentral lists this ribosomal RNA (252 nucleotides) under uncultured bacterium. RNAcentral's name for it is "partial 16S ribosomal RNA". It matches the Rfam family "Bacterial small subunit ribosomal RNA", at positions 524 to 776 of the family's 1533-position model. The record is from RNAcentral.
UACGGAGGAUGCGAGCGUUAUCCGGAUUUAUUGGGCGUAAAGCGAGCGCAGGUGGUUUAUUAAGUCUGGUGUAAAAGGCAGUGGCUCAACCAUUGUAUGCAUUGGAAACUGGUAGACUUGAGUGCAGGAGAGGAGAGUGGAAUUCCAUGUGUAGCGGCGAAAUGCGUAGAUAUAUGGAGGAACACCGGUGGCGAAAGCGGCUCUCUGGCCUGUAACUGACACUGAGGCUCGAAAGCGUGGGGAGCAAACAGG